AGUGAACGCUGGCGGUAGGCCUAACACAUGCAAGUCGAACGGCAGCACAGGAGAGCUUGCUCUCUGGGUGGCGAGUGGCGGACGGGUGAGGAAUACAUCGGAAUCUACUUUUUCGUGGGGGAUAACGUAGGGAAACUUACGCUAAUACCGCAUACGACCUAAGGGUGAAAGCAGGGGACCUUCGGGCCUUGCGCGAUUGAAUGAGCCGAUGUCGGAUUAGCUAGUUGGCGGGGUAAAGGCCAACCAAGGCGACGACCCGUAGCUGGUCUGAGAGGAUGAUCAGCCACACUGGAACUGAGACACGGUCCAGACUCCUACGGGAGGCAGCAGUGGGGAAUAUUGGACAAUGGGCGCAAGCCUGAUCCAGCCAUACCGCGUGGGUGAAGAAGGCCUUCGGGUUGUAAAGCCCUUUUGUUGGGAAAGAAAUCCAGCUGGCUAAUACCCGGUUGGGAUGACGGUACCCAAAGAAUAAGCACCGGCUAACUUCGUGCCAGCCGCCGCAGUAA
Molecule: ribosomal RNA, 506 nt
Filed under: uncultured bacterium
Lineage: Bacteria
Description: partial 16S ribosomal RNA
Rfam family: Bacterial small subunit ribosomal RNA
Source: RNAcentral